GACGUAGGGGGCAAGCGUUGCUCGGAAUUAUUGGGCGUAAAGCGCUCGUAGGCGGGACUGGAAGUCCGUGUUGAAAGACCUCGGCUCAACUGAGGGACCGGCUCGGAUACUCUAGUUCUUGAGGCAAUCAGAGGGUGAUGGAAUUCCCGGUGUAGCGGUGAAAUGCGCAGAUAUCGGGAGGAACACCAGUGGCGAAGGCGAUCACCUGGGGUUGUUCUGACGCUGAGGAGCGAAAGCUAGGGGAGCAAACGGG
This 253-nucleotide ribosomal RNA is filed under the name uncultured bacterium. Its description in RNAcentral is "partial 16S ribosomal RNA". It matches the Rfam family "Bacterial small subunit ribosomal RNA", at positions 524 to 776 of the family's 1533-position model. The record is from RNAcentral.